RNAcentral lists this long non-coding RNA (201 nucleotides) under Panax ginseng (ginseng). RNAcentral's name for it is "long non-coding RNA (PGIN_LNC009605)". The record is from RNAcentral. Lineage: Eukaryota; Viridiplantae; Streptophyta; Magnoliopsida; Apiales; Araliaceae.
ACGGUUGUCACAUCUUUCCCCUCUUAAAAGGAUUCUGUCCCCAGAAUCAUAACUCAAACAAGUCGUCCCGUUACAUUCUAAACAUGUGAAAAAAUUAAAUACAGUAUAGUACCUCCAUCUAUACCUCUAUUUUUUACUUAGUCAUGCAAGUAUCAUCAUUUUUGCACCAACUCCCCUAAUAGUAUAAGAAUGCGAUUCAAU